GCCAAUCAAACUCGGAGAUAGCUGGUUCUCCCCGAAAGCUAUUUAGGUAGCGCCUCGGACGAAUACUACUGGGGGUAGAGCACUGUUUGGGCUAGGGGGUCAUCCCGACUUACCAACCCCAUGCAAACUCCGAAUACCAGUAAGUAAUAUCCGGGAGACACACGGCGGGUGCUAACGUCCGUCGUGAAGAGGGAAACAACCCAGACCGCCGGCUAAGGUCCCAAAGUUCUGGUUAAGUGGGAAACGAUGUGGGAAGGCUCAGACAGCUAGGAUGUUGGCUUAGAAGCAGCCAUCAUUUAAAGAAAGCGUAAUAGCUCACUAGUCGAGUCGGCCUGCGCGGAAGAUGUAACGGGGCUCAAACCAGGCACCGAAGCCGCGGAUUCACACUAAGUGUGAGUGGUAGGGGAGCGUUCUGUAAGUCUGCGAAGGUGUGUCGAGAGGCAUGCUGGAGAUAUCAGAAGUGCGAAUGCUGACGUAAGUAACGAUAAAGGGGGUGAAAAGCCUCCUCGCCGGAAGACCAAGGGUUCCUGUCCAACGU
This 538-nucleotide ribosomal RNA is filed under the name Aeromonas sp. MaB10011B. RNAcentral's name for it is "partial 23S ribosomal RNA". It matches the Rfam family "Bacterial large subunit ribosomal RNA", at positions 828 to 1365 of the family's 2925-position model. The record is from RNAcentral. Lineage: Bacteria; Pseudomonadati; Pseudomonadota; Gammaproteobacteria; Aeromonadales; Aeromonadaceae.